This 484-nucleotide ribosomal RNA is filed under the name uncultured bacterium. Its description in RNAcentral is "bacterial SSU rRNA". It matches the Rfam family "Bacterial small subunit ribosomal RNA", at positions 26 to 507 of the family's 1533-position model. The record is from RNAcentral.
AGGACGAACGCUGGCGGCGUGCCUAACACAUGCAAGUCGAACGGGUGCCUUGAAGUGAGAUUUCGGUCAAGCAGAUAGGUUACCUAGUGGCGGACGGGUGAGUAAUACAUGAGCAACCUGCCCUUCAGAGGGGGACAACAGUUGGAAACGACUGCUAAUACCGCAUAACGUAUUCGGGAGGCAUCUUCUGAAUACCAAAGAUUUUAUCGCUGAAGGAUGGCCUCGCGUCUGAUUAGCUAGUUGGCGGGGUAACGGCCCACCAAGGCGACGAUCAGUAGCCGGUCUGAGAGGAUGAACGGCCACAUUGGGACUGAGAUACGGCCCAGACUCCUACGGGAGGCAGCAGUGGGGAAUAUUGGGCAAUGGGGGAAACCCUGACCCAGCAACGCCGCGUGAAGGAAGAAGGCCUUCGGGUUGUAAACUUCUUUUAGCAGGGACGAAGAACGUGACGGUACCUGCAGAAAAAGCAACGGCUAACUACGUG